This 369-nucleotide ribosomal RNA is filed under the name uncultured bacterium. RNAcentral describes it as "bacterial SSU rRNA". It matches the Rfam family "Bacterial small subunit ribosomal RNA", at positions 917 to 1289 of the family's 1533-position model. The record is from RNAcentral.
GGGCCCGCACAAGCGGUGGAGUAUGUGGUUUAAUUCGAUGCAACGCGAAGAACCUUACCAGGGUUUGACAUCCUGCGAAUCUCUUGGAAACAGGAGAGUGCCUUCGGGAACGCAGUGACAGGUGGUGCAUGGCUGUCGUCAGCUCGUGCCGUGAGGUGUUAGGUUAAGUCCUGCAACGAGCGCAACCCACGUCGUUAGUUGCCAGCAUUUUAGUUGGGCACUCUAGCGAGACCGCCGGUGAUAAACCGGAGAAGGUGUGGAUGACGUCAAGUCAUCAUGCCCCUUACAUCUGGGCUACACACGUACUACAAUGCUACGGACAAAGGGCAGCAAACUCGCGAGAGCUAGCAAAUCCCAUAAACGUGGCUC